This 492-nucleotide ribosomal RNA is filed under the name uncultured bacterium. RNAcentral describes it as "partial 16S ribosomal RNA". It matches the Rfam family "Bacterial small subunit ribosomal RNA", at positions 29 to 507 of the family's 1533-position model. The record is from RNAcentral.
AGUGAACGCUGGCGGUAGGCCUAACACAUGCAAGUCGAACGGCAGCACAGUAAGAGCUUGCUCUUACGGGUGGCGAGUGGCGGACGGGUGAGGAAUACAUCGGAAUCUACUUUUUCGUGGGGGAUAACGUAGGGACACUUACGCUAAUACCGCAUACGACCUACGGGUGAAAGCAGGGGAUCUUCGGACCUUGCGCGAUUGAAUGAGCCGAUGUCGGAUUAGCUAGUUGGCGGGGUAAAGGCCCACCAAGGCAACGAUCCGUAGCUGGUCUGAGAGGAUGAUCAGCCACACUGGAACUGAGACACGGUCCAGACUCCUACGGGAGGCAGCAGUGGGGAAUAUUGGACAAUGGGCGCAAGCCUGAUCCAGCCAUACCGCGUGGGUGAAGAAGGCCUUCGGGUUGUAAAGCCCUUUUGUUGGGAAAGAAAAGCAGCAGGUUAAUACCCCGCUGUUCUGACGGUACCCAAAGAAUAAGCACCGGCUAACUUCGUG